Molecule: ribosomal RNA, 500 nt
Filed under: uncultured bacterium
Lineage: Bacteria
Description: partial 16S ribosomal RNA
Rfam family: Bacterial small subunit ribosomal RNA
Source: RNAcentral
AUUGAACACUGGCGGAAUGCUUUACACAUGCAAGUCGAACGGCAGCACGGACUUCGGUCCGGUGGCGAGUGGCGAACGGGUGAGUAAUACAUCGGAACGUGCCCAGUCGUGGGGGAUAACGUAGCGAAAGCUACGCUAAUACCGCAUACGAUCUAAGGAUGAAAGCGGGGGAUCGCAAGACCUCGCGCGAUUGGAGCGGCCGAUGGCAGAUUAGGUAGUUGGUAGGGUAAAGGCCUACCAAGCCGACGAUCUGUAGCUGGUCUGAGAGGAUGAUCAGCCACACUGGGACUGAGACACGGCCCAGACUCCUACGGGAGGCAGCAGUGGGGAAUUUUGGACAAUGGGCGCAAGCCUGAUCCAGCCAUUCCGCGUGCAGGAUGAAGGCCUUCGGAUUGUAAACUGCUUUUGUACAGAACGAAAAGGCUCUGGUUAAUACCCGGGGCUCAUGACGGUACUGUAAGAAUAAGCACCGGCUAACUACGUGCCAGCCGCCGCCGUAA